This 492-nucleotide ribosomal RNA is filed under the name uncultured bacterium. Its description in RNAcentral is "partial 16S ribosomal RNA". It matches the Rfam family "Bacterial small subunit ribosomal RNA", at positions 29 to 507 of the family's 1533-position model. The record is from RNAcentral.
AGUGAACGCUGGCGGUAGGCCUAACACAUGCAAGUCGAACGGCAGCACAGUAAGAGCUUGCUCUUACGGGUGGCGAGUGGCGGACGGGUGAGGAAUACAUCGGAAUCUACUUUUUCGUGGGGGAUAACGUAGGGAAACUUACGCUAAUACCGCAUACGACCUACGGGUGAAAGUAGGGGAUCUUCGGACCUUGCGCGAUUGAAUGAGCCGAUGUCGGAUUAGCUAGUUGGCGGGGUAAAGGCCCACCAAGGCGACGAUCCGUAGCUGGUCUGAGAGGAUGAUCAGCCACACUGGAACUGAGACACGGUCCAGACUCCUACGGGAGGCAGCAGUGGGGAAUAUUGGACAAUGGGCGCAAGCCUGAUCCAGCCAUACUGCGUGGGUGAAGAAGGCCUUCGGGUUGUAAAGCCCUUUUGUUGGGAAAGAAAAGCAGCAGGUUAAUACCCCGCUGUUCUGACGGUACCCAAAGAAUAAGCACCGGCUAACUUCGUG